AAUUCGAUUGUUUGAUCCUGGCUCAGGAUGAACGCUAGCGGCGGGCAUAAAUACGUGCAAGUCGAACGGGAUAAGUUGUAGCAAUACGACUUUGAGAGUGGCGCACGGGUGCGUAACACGUAUGCAACUUGCCCUUAACAGGGGGAUAGCUCUCGGAAACGAAAAUUAAUACCCCAUAUUAUUACUUAUAUGCAUGUAUGAGUAAUGAAAGCUCCGGCGGUUAAGGAUGGGCAUGCGGCUGAUUAGCUAGUUGGCGAGGUAAAGGCUCACCAAGGCGACGAUCAGUAGGGGGUCUGAGAGGAUGUCCCCCCACACUGGUACUGAGACACGGACCAGACUCCUACGGGAGGCAGCAGUAGGGAAUAUUGGUCAAUGGAGGCAACUCUGAACCAGCCACGCCGCGUGCAGGAUGAAGGCCCUCUGGGUUGUAAACUGCUUUUGUUAGGGAAAAAACCCCUCGAUGCGUUGAGGGUUGAUGGUACCUAAAGAAUAAGGAUCGGCUAACUCCGUGCCAGCAGCCGCGGUAAUACGGAGGAUCCUAGCGUUGUCCGGAUUUAUUGGGUUUAAAGGGUGCGUAGGCGGAAUAUUAAGUCAGGGGUGAAAGCCGGUCGCUUAACGAUCGAAUUGCCUUUGAAACUGGUAUUCUUGAAUUUGAUUGAGGUAGGCGGAAUGUGUCAUGUAGCGGUGAAAUGCAUAGAUAUGAUACAGAACACCGAUUGCGAAGGCAGCUUACUAAGUCAACAUUGACGCUGAGGCACGAAAGCGUGGGGAGCAAACAGGAUUAGAUACCCUGGUAGUCCACGCCGUAAACGUUGAUAACUCGCUGUUAGCGAUAUACAGUUAGCGGCUAAGCGAAAGCGUAAGUUCCACC
Molecule: ribosomal RNA, 871 nt
Filed under: uncultured bacterium
Lineage: Bacteria
Description: bacterial SSU rRNA
Rfam family: Bacterial small subunit ribosomal RNA
Source: RNAcentral